Molecule: ribosomal RNA, 122 nt
Filed under: Eucalyptus grandis
Lineage: Eukaryota; Viridiplantae; Streptophyta; Magnoliopsida; Myrtales; Myrtaceae
Source: RNAcentral
GGUUGUGAUCAUACCAGCACAAGAAGCAGCGGAUCCCAUCAGAACUCCACAAGUCAAGCUUGCUUGGGCGAGAGUACUACUAAGGAUGGGUGACCUCCUGGGAAGUGGUCGUGUUGCACCCC